GCAUGAGGCAGUGAGAUUCAUGGACACAUAAUAGAUUUAGGAAUGGAAGAAAGAAAGCAUUUAUGCCUUGCUUGGAAAUGAACAUAAGCUUGCCCCGGAAAAAAUAGCGGCAAAACAAGCCUUACAUUGGGCCUCCCGAAAUGUAGUGGAAAACACAUGAUGCGCUUCUCUUCCCUCUUUUUACAGAUUGGUAAAUGCAUCUAAAGACUGGAUCAUAAGCCCUGAGGCACACGGUCGGAUAACAUGAACAGAACACGGGUUGUAUAAAUGUUUAACAUGCUAACCUUCAAACUGUAACUUUAACUUACAAUUACUAAAUGAAAAACAAGAAGCUAGUGCGUCGUUUUUUUUCCUUGUUUUUUUUUUAAUCUAACUUUGAACUCGAAAGCAUUAAAGCCCAAGAAGGCUGAAACAUACUUUUCUUUGGCCUUUACCUAUUCUAAGAUACAUGUUAGGCAGUAAGCAGCAGCCAUAAUAUCACUCCCCAAAGGAACAUCUGUUGCAUCAGACACUCGAUGCUCGUGAAUGAUUCUUUGAAUGAUCACUGUCUUCAUCUCCAUGCUCGGUUUCCGAGCUGCUCACUUCAUUCAGUUUCAGUCUGGCAUCUGUAAUUUCAUCUUGCACGUUAGUUGCCUGGUUCUCUGUCAUGUUUUCCUGCAAAACCUGCAAUAGCUCAGUCAUCCUGCCAGUUCUAUAAUUUUCCAAAGGUCUUGACACGACUGCAGGGUGAUUAUGCAGAACAGGCUGUACAGAUUGAAGGGGCUCAAUGUAAAGCGGCUGACCUGUGCCAUCAACAUCAUCCUCUGCAGCACGCCUAGAAUCUUUAGCAGACAAAUUAACAGCCGAGCCAUUAUCAGUCUUUGUUGACAGUGAAGGGACUUGUGUUCUCUUGAUAACUUCCGUUAACAACUUCUCAAAAGGCAUACCAGGCAAUUUCAUUGAUUUGGCUUCAGCCUCUUGCUGGGCAUCCAAUAAAUUUUGAUUAACACCAGCUUCCUUCUGUAAACCUGAAGGCAUUAACUGGUGGUUAUUUUGAGAUUGAAAGUGAAGCAACUGGGCUUCAACUGCCCCCACUUGGUUUGUGGAUGUUGAUCCAUUUGAUGGAUGAGCAGCAUCUAGCACCUUUUUGCCCUUAAAAGCCACUGCAUCAGCAGGUUGGGUUGCAACUGAAGACAAUUCGCCAGAAGUCCCAUUUGAUAAAUCAACAGGAUGGAGUACAACAGGCACCACAUUGCCUCUUGAGUUCCCAGGAGAAGAAGCAUGACUUGCCAUUGAAGGCACUUGUUUGCCUUUGGAGGCUACCGGAUUAGCAGCUUGAGCUGUAUGAAAAGUACCAUUUCUCUCCCUAGACCGGGGAUUAUGGCUAGGGACCUGAGCAUAAUUUUCUCUUGGGAUGGGAAUCUCAUUUCUUCUGAUCAUUUGGAUGCCUGGGGCAACAUCAUUGUCUGUGGAAACAGGAACACAUCGUCCAGGCUUAAAAACAACACCCCUCAAAGUGGUUUCUGAGUUGCCAACCCUAACAGUGAGUAAAUAUCCAGCAUCAAAUGCUGCCUCGAUGACACCAUGAACUACUUGACCCACCAUGAUAUCACUUGCAUCAUUAACUGGAUCUACUUGGCGGGGUUGAUUUCCAUUGACCGUUACAAAUCCAGGCGGAACAUAAGAGCUUCCCCCAUGAUUUGGAUUCUGGCCCCUUGCAGCACGAACAUCCACCCCAUGACCAAGAUCUAGCCUUGGAUACUUACGUGGACGACCACGCUUGCGCUUCACGGGAACAAGUGCUGAUUCAUCAGGAUGAUUCCCUUGAUUUGCUUCACUCAUGUUCAGUAUAAGUCAAAUAAACUUUCCUUGCUUUCCACACAACCUAUUGAUAUGGUUUUCCCUCCCUGCAGUGAAAAAAGAUGUCAAUUUUGAGUUCACAGAAGUAGAUUGUACUGUUACCAACCAUGAAAAUCCAAUUUACAUAUCAUAGGUUUAGAUGCUCAUGCUUUCGAUAAUCAACUUUAGAAAAAAUGAUAGUCAACCCACCAGACUACAGAAACAGAAUACAGAGUCAUGGCAUAUGCAAAACACUACAUGUUAUAUACCGCCAAACUUCAACCUAACAUCACAGAUCACAAUCAGUGUUCAGACAUUCUAAGAAUUUUUAAAGUAUUCUACAGCAAAUUGCAAAUUUCCUGAAUCAAGAAAAUCCUAACACUUACCCUUGAUGUCAAAUGUGAAUGCAUACACCAAAAUCAAUUUGUGAAAACAAUGGUACAAGAAAAUAUUAGAAUGCAGUAACUGAUGCCUAUGAGAAGCCUUGAGAAAAUCACCCUCAUGAGAAGAGGGAAAAAUCCUUGGGAACAUGUCUUUAAAAACAUAGGCUGAAGUGAGAAUACAACAGAACCCCUGAAGUCCUACACAAACCCAUUGUCCAAACUCCCAAAAUAUUUAAGCUGGCUUCCAAGAAUUUAGUUCAUAGAAUCCCCACCAUUAUCCCCACAUCAUUCCAUAGUACCCACUUAUAUUAAUCCCUAUUAUUAGUGUAUAGAGAAGCUAGCCUAGCAUUGAAACUCCUUAAGAAAUCUAAUUUUCCUGGAACUAUAAAGCUGGAAUGGCAUCAAAUCCUUGUUCAUUAUCAAUACACAAUGAAAUUUUGUAUUACAUAAAAUUUUCUAUGUCUGCAAUUCCCCAACUACAUGUAGCAUUGGUUUUAAAGAAACUCAGGUGAUUCUAUCUAAAAGUAAUAUGCUGAUGCUUUUAGGGGUCAAAUUUAGUAAACCAGAACUCAUGUUAUGAUGCUUUCAUGAAAGUCAGUUAGAAAAACUUCACUGGACUCUAAAACUUCUGAAUUUUUUCCUGAACGUGAAAAUAGGACUUUUCUAUCCAGCAAAGUCUCCAGUUAGCAUUCUUAAGCUAAUUACAUGGAAUUAAGAAAGUCACAAACUCAUAGCUAAGUUAAACAAAUAUGCACAUAGGGGUGAGCAGAUUUCAGUUUUAACAAAAAAUAGAAACAAACCUAUCUAAUUUGGAUUUUUGGUUUAGUUGGUUCGAUUUCUAUUAUUAUUUUAAAAAAUUUGGGUUUUCAGUUUGGUUCAAUUAAUUCUGUCAAAAAAUAGAACAAACUGAAUCGAAUCGAGAUUCAUAUAAAUACUGCUUUGUUAUAUAUUUACAUAACCCACACAUACCAGAGGCCGGCUCAACCAUACCAAUGCCAAACUCUAAUCUAUCUUUCUUCCCUUCUCUCAUCCUCUCUACAUUUUCUUUGUCUUUCCUUCAUCUAAUUUGUAUAUUUGAAUUUGUUAUAAGAUGGUAAAUUUGUUCUUUAUUUUGUUAUGGGAUUGAUUAAGUUGUUUCAAUGAUUGAAUGGCUGCUGAGAUUGAUUUUAUUCUUGGCUAGGAUUGGUACUAGGUAUCGGCAAGGAGAAGGGUGACACUGAAAACAGUAUCGUUUGAGUGAAAAGGCAGUGUUUGGCAUUUUGCAUAAAACUAACAAACUAAACUGGUUCGAUUCGGUUCCUCUAUCAUUCUGGUUUGGUUCAGUUUCCAUUUUAAAUGAUUUGGUACUUCAAUUUUUGCGGUUUGAUUUAGUACAGAACCAAACCAAACGAUUAAACACUCCUACAUGCACACACACACACACAAAAAAAUGUGCAAGUAAGGAAAGCGAGGCAAAGCCAUAAACUGUAAUCUGCACCAAUGUUUAGAUCUCAUUUUACUGUACCUGGUUAAGCAAAAUACAAAAAACAAAUAAAUAAAUUACAAUCUGGCAUUUGAACUCAAUCAAGUAUCCAAGUACUGGGCUUGUGGAUGAUAAAUAGCAGGGAAUAGUUGUUGCAUUUACAAAACACCAUGCGACUUUUCAACUACAAUUCAAUGUAUAGAAAGCAUAGUACGUCUCUUCACAUUAGCAAGUUCCCCCUUUUGUCGCUGCCAUAUGAAGAAUGUGCUUAAGAUAGCCAUAACACAAUCACCAAGCAAAGAUUUUUUUUAUAUAUAUAUCUUUAUUUUUCUUUCUUCCAGCAUUAAAAUAAGGAGGCACCAGCAUUUGAAGACAGCUACAGCACCAAGUGAGUGGCAAGGCUAAAAUUCUAUAUAGAAGAGAUUAAUUUCCUACAAAUAGAAUUCCAACAAUAAUAAGGGAGCGCUUGAAAUAGCAAAUUAUCAAAACACAGUCUCAAGAUUAGAACUUUGUUUCCAUUGGGAACGUCGUGCGCUAUGAAAAUGGGCAAUAAAUACAAAAAACUAUCGCAAGUUAAGUGAGCAUCAAUUACACAACAAUAGUGCAAGUACACAAACAAAUAAAACCCAAUUACAAAUACUGAGAGAGCAAACACACUAGACCUUCUAUAGUCUUGCAAUAUAAAAAAACACCGGAAACAACAUAUUCAUACACCCAGUUGGAAAGUUAAACUACACCAAAAAAUAAAUAAAACAAAGAACCUCAGAAUUUCACAUAUUUAGUCUCAAAGAGCACUAAGCAUAUGCUUGGCUGCUAAUAAAAUACCAUGGAUUAUCAACAUCAUGCUAGCUUUAGUUUAUAAAAGAGAAGCAACAGCAGAGAAAAGGGUGUUUCAAAAAGCAAGAAGCCUAGGGAUUGUGAAGAAGGAGCGUACCUGCAGAAGCAAUGUUCAGUGGGGAAGAGAGACCAAAGAAAUAAAUAAAUAUUUAAAUUUAAAUACAAAUUGAGGUCAGAAACCCUGGAAAUUUUUUCAUUUUUGUUUCCGAGAGAUGCCAAAAACAAAAAAUUUAAUCCCAAUCUCUGUUUUUUUUUCCCCUACCCGGAGAGGUCGAGGUCCACUGCGGGCCCCUUUCCGCGCUAUAUUGACUUGACUAUGACAUAGAUUUUGUGACAGAGCAAUUGCAAACUGACUUGUAAUAUGGCUUCGCAC
This 4873-nucleotide unclassified non-coding RNA is filed under the name Hevea brasiliensis (rubber tree). Lineage: Eukaryota; Viridiplantae; Streptophyta; Magnoliopsida; Malpighiales; Euphorbiaceae. The record is from RNAcentral.